This is a long non-coding RNA of Stegastes partitus (bicolor damselfish), 315 nucleotides long. RefSeq lists it as uncharacterized. The transcript is spliced from 3 exons. The record is from RefSeq and is a predicted model, not a curated record. Lineage: Eukaryota; Metazoa; Chordata; Actinopteri; Pomacentridae.
UUUUCAUGAAGGACAGCUGUGAGGCCACCCAGGGCUCCCAGACUCCGGUCUCAGAGACACUGAGGAGAGACCAGUGUUCCCAGUCCUGACCUCCCUCAGUGGAACAUCACACUGGUCUCACUCGGCUGCAGUCAUUAACUCUGCCUCUUGCUUCUUGUCUGUCUCUUUCUUUCUCAUUGAUCACGUUUUGCAGAGUUUUGCAGUUUUGAUUAUUUCAAUAAAAACUUCUUCAUCAAGUCACUUGUUUUCAUAUAUUGCUGUGACAGAAACAAGUCUUGCUGUCUAAAUGUUUCCAUUAAAUCCAGAAUAAAGUCA